UAGGGAAUUUUCGUCAAUGGGCGCAAGCCUGAACGAGCGAUGCCGCGUGAGUGAAGAAGGCCUUGGUCGUAAAGCUCUGUUGCGGGGGAAAAAAGGCAGCAUCAGGAAAUGGGUGCUGACUGAUGGUGCCCCGCCAG
RNAcentral lists this ribosomal RNA (137 nucleotides) under uncultured bacterium. Its description in RNAcentral is "partial 16S ribosomal RNA". It matches the Rfam family "Bacterial small subunit ribosomal RNA", at positions 355 to 486 of the family's 1533-position model. The record is from RNAcentral.